Molecule: long non-coding RNA, 5020 nt
Filed under: Sus scrofa (pig)
Lineage: Eukaryota; Metazoa; Chordata; Mammalia; Artiodactyla; Suidae
Description: lncRNA (ENSSSCG00060022004.1)
Source: RNAcentral
AGACAGAUUCCCAGGAGGAGUGUAACACCUGCUGAUUUGACGCUUUUCCGUCUAGCCAUUCCAUGGCAUGGAACAAAAAUGACAAAUAUGGCAGAGGGACUCUUGUGGACUUGAAGAGGUUGAAGAGACCUGCAGGGAAUCCAGUGACUGCACCAAUUUACACUCCCACCAACAGUGUACGAAGGUUCCCUUUUCUUCAUAUCCUUGCCGCAUUUGUCAUUCGUGUUCUUUUUGAUGAUUGCCAUUCAUCAUUCAUCCAGGUGCAUGUAUCUUUUUGAAUUAUAGUUUUCUCCAGAUAUUCGCCCAGGAGUGGGAUUACUGGAUCAUAUGGAGAAUUAGAAGAAGAAUGACAAACCAAGCCCAAAGUCAGCAGAGGAAGGAAAUAAAUAAAUAUCAGAGAGAAAAUAAAAUAGAGAUAAAAAAUUAAAAAAAAUCAAUAAAACCAAGUAUUGGUUUUUUGAAAAGAUAAACAAAAUUGAUAAACCUUUUCCUGGGCUCACCAAAAAAUGGACCCAAAUAAACAAAAUAAGAAAUGAAAGAGGAAGAAUAAUGACUGAUACCAAAAACAUACAAAAAAUAAGAUAAUACUUAAAUAGUUAUACGCCAAAAAAUUGGACAACAUAGAAGAAAUGGACAAGUUUCUAGAAACAGAGCCUGUCAAGAGAGAAUCAAGAAGAAAUAGACAAUUUGAACAGACCAAUCACUAGAAGUGAAAUUGAAUCUGUAAUAAGUAGCUGCCAGCAAACAUAAGUCUAACACUGGAUGGCUUCACUGGGGAAUUCUACCAAACAUAUAAAGAAGAGAUUAUUCAUAUCCUUCUCAAACUACUUCAAAAAACUGAAGAGAGGGGAACACUCCCAAAUUCAUUCUGUGAGGCCACAAUUACCUUAAUACCAAAACCAGACAAAGAUGCUAUAAAAAAGAAAAUCACAGACCAAUCUCUUUGAUGAAUAUAGAUUCAAAAAUCCUCAACGAAAUAUUAGCAAACAGAAUCCAACAGUACAUAACAAGGAUCAAGUUGAAUUCAUUCCAGGGUUACAAGGAUAGUUCAACAUACACAAAUCCAUCAAUGUGAUACAUCACAUUAACUUAAGGAAAGACAAAAACCACACAAUCAUCUAAGUAGACACAGAAAAAGCAUUUGAAAAAAUUCAAUAUCCAGUCAUAACAAAAACUCUCCUCAAAGUUGAUAUAGAGGGAACAUAUUGCAACAUAAUAAAGGCCAUUUACAACAAACCCACAGACUAGAUAAUACUUUAUGGUGAAAAGCUGAAAGACUUCUUGCUAAAUUCACUAACAAGACAAGGAUGCUCACUCUCACCAAUUUUCUUUAAGAAGGUAUUUAAAUCAUAGUCACAUCAAUCAAACAAGAAAAGGAAACAUAUCAAAAUUGAAAGAGAAACAGUAAAAUUGUCACUGUUUGCAUAUGAUAUAUACUCUAUAUAAAGAGCCCUAAAGUCUCCACCCAAAAACUAUUAAAAUAAAUGAAGCCAGGAAGAUUUCAGGAUACAAGAUUAAUAUACAGAAAUCUGUUGCAUUUUAUAUACUAAUAAUGAAAUAUAGAGAAAGAAAUUAAAAAAACAAUCCUGUUUAAAGUCCCAUCAAAAAAUAUCUAGGAAUGAACUUAACCAAGGAGAUUCAAAGACCCUUAUUCUGAAUGUGAUGAAACAUUGAUGAAGGAAAUUAAAGAUGGUUCAAAGAAAUGGAAAGUUAUCCUGUGCCCUGGGAUUGGAACAAUAAUUAAUUUUGUUAAAAUGGCCAUACCACCCAAAGAAAUCUACAGAUAUAAUACAAUCCCUCUCAAAACAGUCAUGGCAUUUUUAUAGAACUGUAGCAAAUAACUCUAAAAUUUAUAUGGAACCACAAAAACCCAGAAUUGCCAAAGCAAGCCUGAGGAAAAAGAACAAAACUUGGUGCAUAACUCCUCCAUACUUCAGACUAUACUGCAAAGCUACAGUAAGCAAGAAGUUUCUGCUUAUGGUGCAGUGGGUUAAGAAUCUGAAUGCAGAAGUUCCAAUUGUUGCACAGGUGCAGGUUCGAUCCCUUGCUCAGUGCAGUGGGUUGGAGGAUCCAGUGUUGCAACAACUGUGGCUGGGGCUCAGAUUCAAUCCCUGGCACUAGAAUUUAAAAUAAAAAUUUAAAUUUAUUUUAAAGUAAAAAUUUAUGUAAAAAUAAAUUUAUAAUUUUUACAAAAAAUUAUUUAAAAACAAAAAAAAAUUUAAAAAAAGCUACAGUAAUCUGAACUGGAUGGUAUUGGCACAAAAACAGACUUGUGGAUCAAUGAACAGAAUAGAGAGCCCAGAAAUAAACCCACAUACCUAUGGUCAAUUAAUCUUUGACAAAGGAGGCAAGAAAUUACAAUGGAAAAAAGAUAAUCUCUUCAACAAGUGGUGUUGGGAGAGCUGGAGAGCUGCAUGUAAAACAAUGAGUUUAGAACAUUCCCUCACACCAUCUACAAAAAUAAAGUCAAAGUGAUUUAAAGACCUAAAUGUAUAACAUGCAACCAUAAAAUUCUUAAAAGAGAAUAUAGAGGGAAUGCUCUUUGACAUAAAUUGUAGCAAUAUUUCUUGAAAAAAGUCUUUUCGAAUGAAAAUAAUAGUGCUUUGAUUUUAAAAUAUAUCUACACAUAUGACUAUUAGAUGACUAAAUGAACCCUAUUUUAUUAUUUUAAGUAUAAUAACGCUUCUUGGAUUUAAUGAUCUAGACUGCUAGACUUUACCACAACAUUUAAGAUCUAAACAUGAACACUAACAGAGUAAUAACCUCAUUCCAGCAGAGGAAAUUCCUCCACGUGUUAAACUUGGGUAACAAAUGUUGGAAUUUUAAUUCCUUCUAGAAGCACCUUCUAGUUGGCAUCUGAGGCCAUCCAUAGUUAUGAGAAUUAUUUUAAAAUUUCAUUCAAAAUAAGCUAUGCAAAAAGGUGGUGGUUUUCCUCUUCAGUGGGUCCUCAUUUUUACAAUGUUCAAACUGCAUGUUUUAUUGAAUAUAGUUCAUAUAGGAAGAAUAAUAUAAUAAUCUUAUUGAAUAUCCUUAGGACAUCACUAAAAAUGAAGCUAAUUUGCAUUGGCAGUUAGAUUUUGUUGUAUUUUAAUACAGCUCUAAUGCAAUAAUAUUCCUUUACUAGUGACUUUGUUUAAAUACAUUUUUUUCUUAUUGACAAUUAUACACCCAAGUCUUAUGAAAUUACCUUGAGGAGUUCCAGUUGUCCAUAUGGGAGUGGUAAUUAGGUUUAUUAAUCGGCAAUAUUAUUGUAACAAGUCUCUGUGCAUUAGGUGAAUUUUAAUAAAAAUAAGGUUAGACCUUUCCUUUGCCAGAUUUUAACAAAUUCCUAAGUGAGUUAGGGUUUCUUUUGUACAGAAUCAUUAAGAGCAUCAUCCUUCCUUCUUGCUUAUAUCCGAAUAGAAAACAGCAACAUCAAGGAACUUCAAUCCUGCUUGCACGGUUUUCUUUCCUUUUAGAUCUUCUGCUUACAACAUCAACGACAGACAUAUCAGAAGCAUGUGUGGCCACUGCAAGGGUCUCACAGCUGUCCAGUCACACUUCAGUCCUCCACAGGGCAGGGUAAUAUAUCUCAAGUUUGAGCAAAAUAUUAGAGUAGAAAAUCACUCAGUUAAUUUACUGUUUUUUUUGUGCUGAAUUCGUACAUGUGAAGAGGAAAAUGGCGUCUGGGUGACCGGUAGUCUCAACUCUCUUAUCAGGAUUACAUCCUGCACAUGGCUGGUAAUCCGACAACCGGGGCACAUCAGCAAGUCUUAGAGCACUGGGUGCCACAGGGAUGGAAGGCAUCUAAGUAAACAUUUGUUCUGUGGAACAUGGUGUAAUAUUCUGAUGACAUUGGAGAGACCAGCCUUAUUCUCUGAGCAGUAGCAAGCCUUAUUUUGCAUUCCCAGAUUCAGGGUUCUUGAUGACCAGCUGAAAAUAACAAUAACUUCAUCCAGUGAGUGUGAACAAUAGUAGAAACUAUAGUUUUUAUUGUUUUAUCUGUAGAAGAUAGAUUUCACCUCGAAUAGAAACUCUUUUGAAAUUAGGUUGUGAUGAUGAUGUACAACUGUAAAUAUAAUAAAAUUCAUUAAAAAGUGAAAAACAUAAAUGAUCUUCAUUAAAAAAUUACUAGGUUAGCAGACAUUCUCUGUUCCCUUUGAGAUAUGUACUGAGUUAUGCCCUAAUCAAUACUUGAGAAAACACUCUGCUUCUUAUGAAACCUGUGCACCUCUGCUCCCACUGAUUGAGUUGUUUGUUUGCUAAGAGUCAUUUAAUAUCUAUUCCCAAGUUUAUUCAGUUGCACUUUCUAUUGCAAUUGCAUGGUUUAGAAAAUCAUUCUACAAAUGGAUAAAACCAUUUGAUUAGUGAAAACUCAUAAAAGAGAAGUUCCCGUCGUGGCUCAGUGGUUAACGAAUCCGAUGAGGAACCAUGAGGUUGCGGGUUCGAUCCCUGGCCUUGUUCAGUGGGUUAGGGCCCCGGUGUUGCCGUGAGCUGUGGUGUAGGUUGCAGAGGCAGCUUGGAUCCGGUGUUGCUGUGGCUCUGGCAUAGGCCGGUGGCUACAGCUCAGAUUCGACCCCUAGCCUGGGAACCUCCAUAUGCUGCGGGAGCAGCCCUCAAAAAAGGCAAAAAGACAAAAAAAAAAAACAAAAGAAAACAAAACUCAUAAAAGAGUUGUCACUUUUAUGAAAAUCAAGUGCAUGCUUUGGAGAGUCUAAAAAAAGUGAAAUUGCUAAAAAAUAUAAAACUGCUGUCUAACUAGGCAUUGAUGAGACAAAACAGUAAAAGACUGAAGGAGAAAAAUCCUAAAAGUAGUGGAUUCUUUACUCAAUUUACUUGCAAAUAUCUUUAGAUUUUUGUUCAACUUUAAAGAUAUCAAACUGGUGCUAGCCGUAGGUGAUACAUUUUAGAUACAACUUCUGUGAGGAAUGUUGAUUGAAUUUUCCAAUCGAUAGGUUCUAACUAAAAGAUCUUGGUCUGACUGUAAAAUAUUGGUGAAUGUACAUUUGUAUAUUUUAGGUUCAAAUUAAAUGUUUGAAGU